UACGAAGGGGGCUAGCGUUGUUCGGAAUUACUGGGCGUAAAGGGCGCGUAGGCGGUACUUCAAGUCAGGCGUGAAAGCCCCGGGCUCAACCUGGGAACCGCGCUUGAGACUGGAGAACUAGAGUUCGGGAGAGGAUGGUGGAAUUCCCAGUGUAGAGGUGAAAUUCGUAGAUAUUCGGAAGAACACCAGUGGCGAAGGCGGCUCACUGGUCCGGUACUGACGCUGAGGUGCGAAAGCGUGGGGAGCAAACAGG
Molecule: ribosomal RNA, 253 nt
Filed under: uncultured bacterium
Lineage: Bacteria
Description: partial 16S ribosomal RNA
Rfam family: Bacterial small subunit ribosomal RNA
Source: RNAcentral